GCUACAGAAAAUGAGGUGAGGUGAGAUCAACGAUGGAAUACCUUUACGUUUGUAUAAGAUUUUACAAGGGAACUUUUUGAUCUGGCAAUGUAGGAUUUUUGGCAAAUUUUUGAAAAUUUAAAAAAAAUCAAAAAAUUUGUUUCAAGGUAGUUUUUUUAGGUUUUUCAUAAAAAAUAGAUUUUUAUUUGUUUUUGAGUCAAAUUAAACUAACGUGAGAAAUUCCUUCAAUUUUACUUCCUUUCAUCAACAAAUUGCAGUUUUGAGUAUCAUUUUUUGAAGCCUCCAGUGAUUUUUCAAUUUUCUCCAGACUUUUCAAAUCGCUCUGGAGAGGCCAAAAAUGAACUUGAGAAUCAAUAACAUGCCACAAGUUUUUAACCAAUUUGUAAAUUCUAGAAAAAAAAUGAAAAAAGUCAAAUUUUCAAAAAAAUAAAAAUAAAAAUAGAAAAAGUACAUGCCAAGUGGGUUUUUGGGAAGAUGUCGUCUGAUCUGUCUAGGCAAUCACCUGACUUGAAAACUAAUCGUGAUUUAACCUUUUGAUCCCUCCAGAGCGACUUGAAAUUUCUGGAGAAAAUUUAAAAAAUCACUGGAAGGCUGUAGGUUCAGAAUGUCCCAAAACUAGGUACCUACUACCUAGUAGUUGUUGAUGUGUGUGAUUUGAAUUAAAGAGAUUAUCCUCAUUGGUUCAUUUUACUCAGAAAUUUAUACUUCAUGAAAAACUUGAAAAAUCGUCCUUAAAACUGCUUUUUUGGAUUUUAUAAAUUUUUAAAAAUUCACCAAAAAUCCAACAGUCAACCUUAGAACCUGAAAUUUUGGUUACAAAAGUUUUAGGACGUGUUGUAUCGACUCAAAGUUUAGCAAAGGUCAAAUCGAAGAGUGCCAGUUCAAAAAGUUACAGUUUUCCAUCACUGAAUAGAAGUCGUUGAGUAAUGAGUCUAGUUACCUGUAUCCUUCUGGGAUGAAUUUCUUAACAUUUCCAGACAAAGGGUAAGACAAUCCGUGGCACAGAUGAACUCCAGCGUUACCGAACCCUACUCCAGCCAUCGUAGAAGCUAAAUGCAUAUUUGAUCUUGCUUCUAUAUCAUCAGCAUUAUAAA
This is a long non-coding RNA of Planococcus citri (citrus mealybug), 1094 nucleotides long. RefSeq lists it as uncharacterized. The record is from RefSeq and is a predicted model, not a curated record. NCBI's taxonomy places the organism in Eukaryota, Metazoa, Arthropoda, Insecta, Hemiptera, Pseudococcidae. The transcript has 2 exons.